This 1380-nucleotide ribosomal RNA is filed under the name uncultured bacterium. Its description in RNAcentral is "16S ribosomal RNA". It matches the Rfam family "Bacterial small subunit ribosomal RNA". The record is from RNAcentral.
AGAGUUUGAUCCUGGCUCAGGAUGAACGCUGGCGGCGUGCUUAACACAUGCAAGUCGAACGGGGAUGUGAGCGGAAGUUUUCGGACUAAAGUUUAUAUCUUAGUGGCGGACGGGUGAGUAACGCGUGGGUAACCUGCCCUGCACAGGGGGAUAACACCUGGAAACAGGUGCUAAAACCGCAUAAGCGCACAGAGGCGCAUGCCUCAGUGUGAAAAACUCCGGUGGUGCAGGAUGGACCCGCGUCUGAUUAGGCAGUUGGCGGGGUAACGGCCCACCAAACCGACGAUCAGUAGCCGGCCUGAGAGGGUGGACGGCCACAUUGGGACUGAGACACGGCCCAAACUCCUACGGGAGGCAGCAGUGGGGAAUAUUGCACAAUGGGGGAAACCCUGAUGCAGCGACGCCGCGUGAGUGAAGAAGUAUUUCGGUAUGUAAAGCUCUAUCAGCAGGGAAGAAAGUGAUGGUACCUGAGUAAGAAGCACCGGCUAAAUACGUGCCAGCAGCCGCGGUAAUACGUAUGGUGGCGAGCGUUAUCCGGAAUUACUGGGUGUAAAGGGUGAGUAGGCGGGGAUGCAAGUCAGGUGUGAAAUGCAGGGGCUUAACCUCUGAGCUGCACUUGAAACUGCGUUUCUUGAGAGUCGGAGGGGUAAUCGGAAUUCCCGGUGUAGCGGUGAAAUGCGCAGAGAUCGGGAGGAACACCAGUGGCGAAGGCGGAUUACUGGACGACAACUGACGCUGAGACACGAAAGCGUGGGGAGCAAACAGGAUUAGAUACCCUGGUAGUCCACGCUGUAAACGAUGAAUACUAGGUGUAGGGCCGGAAGGUUCUGUGCCGGAGUAAACACAAUAAGUAUUCCACCUGGGGAGUACGGCCGCAAGGUUGAAACUCAAAGGAAUUGACGGGAGCCCGCACAAGCAGUGGAGUAUGCGGUUUAAUUCGAUGCAACGCGAAGAACCUUACCAGAGCUUGACAUCCCGGUGAAAGGCAGCGUAAUGGCGGCUGUUUCUUCGGAACACCGGAGACAGGUGGUGCAUGGUUGUCGUCAGCUCGUGUCGUGAGAUGUUGGGUUAAGUCCCGCAACGAGCGCAACCCUUGCGUCCAGUUGCUACGAAAGAGCACUCUGGAUGGACUGCCGUUGAGAAAACGGAGGAAGGCGGGGAUGACGUCAAAUCAUCAUGCCCCUUACGCCCUGGGCCACACGCGUACUACAAUGGCGCAAACAGAGGGAAGCGACCCUGCGAGGGGAAGCAGAUCCCAAAAAGGCGUCCCAGUUCAGAUUGCAGGCUGCAACUCGCCUGCAUGAAGUUGGAAUUGCUAGUAAUCGCGAAUCAGAAUGUCGCGGUGAAUACGUUCCCGGGCUUUGCACACACCGCCCGUCA